This is a long non-coding RNA of Oreochromis aureus, 638 nucleotides long. The record is from Ensembl. Lineage: Eukaryota; Metazoa; Chordata; Actinopteri; Cichliformes; Cichlidae.
GGUGUGCGGGGAUGUGCUAAAAGAACGUUUUUCCCACUCUUCUUUAGGUCAAGUCAGGUGUCUUUGUUGUCAUUUCAACCAUGUGCAGUGUUACAGUACACAUUAGUGAGACAGCGUUCCUCAAAGACCAGGGUGCUACAUAUAACAGACAAUCAACACAGAACUACAUAAAGUGGGAGUCCAUGGCCAACUCAGUGACUGUAAUGUGCUCGGAUCCCGUGGCUUCAAUACAUCAUUCCUCCAUCACCAUGACUGAAAGUUGACAAGCAAGCCAUACUUGUUCAGUUCUUUUCUUUUCUAAAUGUACUUUCAUGAACUUUAACAUUUACCACACUAAACGAGACCUGUGGAUCUGAGAUGUAGCUCUUCAUUUUUUAUUUUAUUUUAUUUUAUUUUUGCCAUUUUCUCUGAGCAUUGGUCUGCCCUUGAGGUGAAUCUGUUAAGAUGCCUGAAUGCUCCAGACCAGCAAGGUGCCAAGCCUUCUGAUUUUAUAGAGGUGUUCACACCUGCUGAUGACCAGUAAAUGAAGUGCAUUUGAUUGAAUCCAAUUUUCAUAGGACAGCAAAAACUUUCUUUUUCUGUUGAAUAAAGUUAAAUUACUACACCUGAUGACCAAGAUAAAAUUUCAAGCAGCAGAA